UUGUUUACAGUAUGACAACUUUCUUGGUGAAUUCAACAAGAUCAGAAAUCGGGGGCCAACAUAUAGUUACUCUUCUUAUGUUUCUAUGUUGAAGAAACGGUUGACAGCUUUUCCAGUGGCAAAAGGAAAUUUCAGCUGUAUUCCUGGGUCGAAUGAGAUGUCAGAAUGUGCCGGAAAAAGGGGUAUUGCACAUUCGUGCUGAUCUUUUGCAUCAGUAUUGUUUACCCGUAAAACGAUGGAACGACAGAGCUGAUGAAUUCGGGAACAAGGUUUCCGGGCAUAACAAUGAUAAGAUCAAAAGCGAGAAGAUAAAAUUGUAUUAAAAUGUUGUAUAAAAUGUAAUGUAAGUUCGCUAUAAAAUUCUUGUCAUUUACAAUGAUAAAUGAGCUCUUUAUUUAUAGUUAUAUCUAGGGAAGGAAGUCCUAGGAGUAUGCCCUUCUUUAAUGUCAAUUAUGAGGUUCAUCGAUGAAGAUGUAAUGUUAGACAUAAAUGUCAAAUUCCUUGUAACGGGUUAUCAUCCUUACUGCUGCAAAAUAUUCUGUAUUAAAUGUUACCAGGCGCAAAGCAUUUAAUACUCUUUUUAUGGUCGUUAUUCCUUUCGGUGACAAGCGCAACAGCUAUGUUCGGUGGCCAUCCCCAUCUUGUAUUCCACGUGUCCUUCCUUUAAGUGGCCACGUGUCA
This is a non-coding RNA of Nicotiana tabacum (common tobacco), 681 nucleotides long. The record is from RefSeq and is a predicted model, not a curated record. Lineage: Eukaryota; Viridiplantae; Streptophyta; Magnoliopsida; Solanales; Solanaceae.